This 587-nucleotide ribosomal RNA is filed under the name uncultured bacterium. RNAcentral describes it as "bacterial SSU rRNA". It matches the Rfam family "Bacterial small subunit ribosomal RNA", at positions 153 to 738 of the family's 1533-position model. The record is from RNAcentral.
GAAAUUCGGAUUAAUACCCCAUAACGAUGUGAUACUGCAUGGUAUUACAUUUAAAACUCCGGUGGUUAAGGAUGGGCAUGCGUGACAUUAGUUAGUUGGUGAGGUAACGGCUCACCAAGGCGACGAUGUCUAGGGGGCCUGAGAGGGUGACCCCCCACACUGGUACUGAGACACGGACCAGACUCCUACGGGAGGCAGCAGUGAGGAAUAUUGCGCAAUGGACGAAAGUCUGACGCAGCCAUGCCGCGUGCAGGAUGACGGCCCUACGGGUUGUAAACUGCUUUUUUACAGGAAGAACUCCCUGCUCGUGAGCGGGGCUGACGGUACUGUAUGAAUAAGCACCGGCUAACUCCGUGCCAGCAGCCGCGGUAAUACGGAGGGUGCAAGCGUUAUCCGGAUUUAUUGGGUUUAAAGGGUGCGUAGGCGGAAUAAUAAGUCAGUGGUGAAAUCCUGCAGCUCAACUGUAGAAUUGCCAUUGAUACUGUUAUUCUUGAGUGCGAUUGAGGUAGGCGGAAUGUGUAAUGUAGCGGUGAAAUGCUUAGAUAUUACACAGAACACCGAUUGCGUAGGCAGCUUACUAAGUCGUA